Myodes glareolus (Bank vole) is the source of this 596-nucleotide non-coding RNA. The record is from RefSeq and is a predicted model, not a curated record. Lineage: Eukaryota; Metazoa; Chordata; Mammalia; Rodentia; Cricetidae.
GUUGGUGAAAACCCAUGUCUUAGCACUGUGCUGUAGGUCAGACUGUUAUAGGUCAGUUUCUCCCAGAUGAAAUACUCCCUCUAGGAAGGAAGACUCAUCAGACUGCAGAAGUAAACAAGAUGGGAAAAAGCUAGUUGUUAGGGACUCACUGGGGCCCUGCUCCAGCUUUUACCAAGGCGUAAACAACUGUGUAGCGAAGACUGACCAGCUGAGCUGGGGAAAGGAAUCUAGGCUGUGGCGUCAUCUGCAGGGCACGGAGCGUUCCUGGCAUACAGCCUUUGUGAGUCAUCACUCAAGCUGGGGCAGGCUUUUUGGUCUAGGAGGUGAUGCUAGAGGAAGAGCAGCCCUGGUGUUGGUAUGGCAAAAGGAUUUGGAACCAAGUGGACAUUCUAUCUCUGCACACCAGAAACGAUACUGGGGAAGACACCUGGCUCUUUCUCUCUUAUUUUUUUCUGGAGCAUCCUUCCUACAGGAUGUCAGGAUUGAAUCACUUUCUCUUCUUGUAACAACUUAUAUUGAUUGUCAACGCUCUGCAUUGCCUCACACUUCAUUGUUACUGUAAUCAUUCUGGCAGUAAAGAAGGUAUUCUAUUUUUG